This 85-nucleotide transfer RNA is filed under the name Massilia antarctica. RNAcentral describes it as "tRNA-Tyr". It matches the Rfam family "tRNA". From Rfam's summary of the family: Transfer RNA (tRNA) molecules are approximately 80 nucleotides in length. Their secondary structure includes four short double-helical elements and three loops (D, anti-codon, and T loops). Further hydrogen bonds mediate the characteristic L-shaped molecular structure. tRNAs have two regions of fundamental functional importance: the anti-codon, which is responsible for specific mRNA codon recognition, and the 3' end, to which the tRNAs corresponding amino acid is attached (by aminoacyl-tRNA synthetases). tRNAs cope with the degeneracy of the genetic code in two manners: having more than one tRNA (with a specific anti-codon) for a particular amino acid; and 'wobble' base-pairing, i.e. permitting non-standard base-pairing at the 3rd anti-codon position. The record is from RNAcentral. Lineage: Bacteria; Pseudomonadati; Pseudomonadota; Betaproteobacteria; Burkholderiales; Oxalobacteraceae. RNAcentral also lists the same sequence under 1 other name.
GGGUGACGAGCAGCAUUGGCGACUGCAGUGGACUGUAAAUCCGCCGUCUAUGACAUACGGGGUUCGAUUCCCUGGUCACCCACCA